UGAAUUGUCCAAUUUCAUGGACCAAUCGAUAUCGGAUUGAGUCCAAAACUUGGGGAACAACAUAAUACGGUGGGAGGAGUCAUUUGGUGGGUUUUGAGUGAAAUCCAAUCUCUACAACUAUGGAAUACACCAACCACUCCAUUUCAUAACAAACUUCGUACGAACCUGAAUUGUCCAAUUUCAUGGACCAGUCGACAUCGGAAUC
RNAcentral lists this long non-coding RNA (205 nucleotides) under Prunus persica (peach). Its description in RNAcentral is "long non-coding RNA (PPER_LNC005252)". Lineage: Eukaryota; Viridiplantae; Streptophyta; Magnoliopsida; Rosales; Rosaceae. The record is from RNAcentral.